GUGACUAGUGACAGAGUGAGAGAGGGUGUGACUAGUGACAGAGUGAGAGAGGGGGUGACUAGUGACAGAGUGAGAGAGGGGGUGACUGUCACUAGUCACCCCAUCCCUCUCUCUGUCACUAGUCACUCCCUCCCUAACUCUGUCACUGUGUCACCCCGUCCCUCACUCUGUCACUAGUUACCCCCUCUCUCACUAUGUCACUAGUCACCCCCUCUCUCACUAUGUCACUAGUCACCCCCUCCCUCACUA
Non-coding RNA from Pelobates cultripes (western spadefoot toad), 249 nucleotides. NCBI's taxonomy places the organism in Eukaryota, Metazoa, Chordata, Amphibia, Anura, Pelobatidae. The record is from the annotation of a GenBank genome assembly.